Molecule: RNA transcript, 1457 nt
Organism: Drosophila subobscura
Lineage: Eukaryota; Metazoa; Arthropoda; Insecta; Diptera; Drosophilidae
Gene: Prip
Gene name: aquaporin AQPcic
Exons: 5
Source: RefSeq, a predicted model, not a curated record
GCGCAUUCAAUUUCGACGAGUCCAAGUGCGCGGAUCGCCUCCAAGCGAACCGAUUCCUUUCCCCAAAUUGAAAGUAACUUGCAUUUUGUGUUCAUCGUCCAGUCAGUGUCAGCGUCUGUGAGUGACCUUUUGUUGUGGAGUGUCGAAGUGAAGCUGUUAGCGAGUGCAAAGGUGCCAAGUGCCAAACAAAAACAAAAAACAAGCUCGUCAUUCUCCGCUGGGACGUUGCGUGUGGAAGAUGGGAAAAUUCGAGUACUCGCUGGGCCUCAAUGAGCUCAAGUCAAAGGAGCUGCGUCUGUGGCAGGCCCUCAUUGGCGAGUUCCUGGGCACACUCAUACUGAAUUUCUUUGCAUGCGGCGCCUGCACUCAGGUGGAGGAUGGCACCUUCAAGGCGCUGGCCUUUGGUCUGGCCAUCUUUAUGGCCAUUACGAUUGUGGGUCACCUGAGCGGUGGACAUGUGAAUCCUGCGGUAACUGUGGGCAUGCUGGUCGCCGGACGCAUCAGCUUCCUGCGUGCUCUGUUCUACAUUGUCUUCCAGUGCCUGGGCGCCAUUGCGGGCACAGCAGCUGUGCGGACCCUCAUCGACAGGGACUACUACAAUGGGCUGGGGCACACGAGUCUCGCGGAGAAUAUCACCGAGCUGCAGGGACUGGGCAUUGAGUUCUUCCUGGGACUGCUGCUGGUGCUCACCGUGUUCGGUGCCUGUGAUCCCCACAAGCCCGACUCCCGCUACACGGCGCCGCUGGCCAUUGGCAUGGCCGUGACCUUGGGCCACUUGGGCACCAUACGCUAUACGGGCGCCAGCAUGAAUCCGGCACGCACCGUGGGCACAGCCUUUGCCACGGACAACUGGAGUGCCCACUGGGUGUACUGGGCUGGGCCAGUGCUGGGAGGCGUGGCCGCGGCGCUGCUCUACACACAGGUGCUGGAGGCAAAGCCGGCACCGAAGGCGGCAGAGGCGGCCGAUAAGUAUCGCACGCAUGCCGAUGAACGUGAGGUGAGAGUCCGAUUGAAAGGCGCCCGGAGCGAAGAAUACUUCUAUUGACACACACACACACACACACAAACACACUCACCCAUCCACCCACCCACUCAUGUACACAUUCUGCGCAAGCUGGAGGGUACACGGGACUAUGCUUAAGGACACCCGCACAAGGAUCUUAAGCGCCGGCAGUGUAUGCCAGCAGAGCGAAAGCGAGGGAAGCACAAGCAGCGGAGCGGAGCGAACACGAAACAGAUUUUUGAUGUUUUGUCCAUUUACUCAUUCAAUUUCAAUGUCUACUCUUAUGUACUUCCGUGUUCACGUGCCUGUCUAUUUAUGUAUUUAUUUAUGCAAAAGUUCAUUUUUUAUAUAACUAAUACUUAUACUUAUACUCGUAAGCAGUGCUUCAAAAGAAAUUGCAAAUCUAUUCUCAAGAGUUCACAAUAAAAUUGAAACAAUUAUUGGAACUAAUUAA